GAUGAACGCUGGCGGCGUGCCUAAUACAUGCAAGUCGAGCGAACAGAUGAGGAGCUUGCUCCUCUGACGUUAGCGGCGGACGGGUGAGUAACACGUGGAUAACCUACCUAUAAGACUGGGAUAACUUCGGGAAACCGGAGCUAAUACCGGAUAAUAUAUUGAACCGCAUGGUUCAAUAGUGAAAGACGGUUUUGCUGUCACUUAUAGAUGGAUCCGCGCCGCAUUAGCUAGUUGGUAAGGUAACGGCCUACCAAGGCAACGAUGCGUAGCCGACCUGUGAGGGUGGUCGGCCACACUGGAACUGAGACACGGACCAGACUCCUACGGGAGGCAGCAGUAGGGAAUCUUCCGCAAUGGGCGAAAGCCUGACGGAGCAACGCCGCGUGAGUGAUGAAGGUCUUCGGAUCGUAAAACUCUGUUAUUAGGGAAGAACAAAUGUGUAAGUAACUAUGCACGGCUUGACGGUACCUAAUCAGAAAGCCACGGCUAACUACGUG
Molecule: ribosomal RNA, 497 nt
Filed under: uncultured bacterium
Lineage: Bacteria
Description: partial 16S ribosomal RNA
Rfam family: Bacterial small subunit ribosomal RNA
Source: RNAcentral